RNAcentral lists this ribosomal RNA (557 nucleotides) under Rhizobium sp. HRRP166. RNAcentral describes it as "bacterial SSU rRNA". It matches the Rfam family "Bacterial small subunit ribosomal RNA", at positions 102 to 694 of the family's 1533-position model. The record is from RNAcentral. Lineage: Bacteria; Pseudomonadati; Pseudomonadota; Alphaproteobacteria; Hyphomicrobiales; Rhizobiaceae.
ACGGGUGAGUAACGCGUGGGAACGUACCCUUUACUACGGAAUAACGCAGGGAAACUUGUGCUAAUACCGUAUGUGCCCUUUGGGGGAAAGAUUUAUCGGUAAAGGAUCGGCCCGCGUUGGAUUAGCUAGUUGGUGGGGUAAAGGCCUACCAAGGCGACGAUCCAUAGCUGGUCUGAGAGGAUGAUCAGCCACAUUGGGACUGAGACACGGCCCAAACUCCUACGGGAGGCAGCAGUGGGGAAUAUUGGACAAUGGGCGCAAGCCUGAUCCAGCCAUGCCGCGUGAGUGAUGAAGGCCCUAGGGUUGUAAAGCUCUUUCACCGGAGAAGAUAAUGACGGUAUCCGGAGAAGAAGCCCCGGCUAACUUCGUGCCAGCAGCCGCGGUAAUACGAAGGGGGCUAGCGUUGUUCGGAAUUACUGGGCGUAAAGCGCACGUAGGCGGAUCGAUCAGUAAGGGGUGAAAUCCCAGGGCUCAACCCUGGAACUGCCUUUGAUACUGUCGAUCUGGAGUAUGGAAGAGGUGAGUGGAAUUCCGAGUGUAGAGGUGAAAUUCGUAGA